GGGUAUGUAGCUCAGUGGUAGAGCAUGUGCAAGGUCCUGGGUUCAAGCCCCAGUAUCCCCA
Molecule: transfer RNA, 61 nt
Filed under: Camelus bactrianus (Bactrian camel)
Lineage: Eukaryota; Metazoa; Chordata; Mammalia; Artiodactyla; Camelidae
Also listed under: 2 other names
Rfam family: tRNA
About the family: Transfer RNA (tRNA) molecules are approximately 80 nucleotides in length. Their secondary structure includes four short double-helical elements and three loops (D, anti-codon, and T loops).
Source: Rfam by way of RNAcentral